This is a long non-coding RNA of Cicer arietinum (chickpea), 991 nucleotides long. RefSeq lists it as uncharacterized. NCBI's taxonomy places the organism in Eukaryota, Viridiplantae, Streptophyta, Magnoliopsida, Fabales, Fabaceae. The record is from RefSeq and is a predicted model, not a curated record.
AACAAACUCACCUCACCCUUGUUUCUUUUUUAUUUAACUUCUCAUUUCCCCAAAUCAAAAUCUGUAUGCUUUUCAUUUUUAUCCAAAUUAAAAUCUCUUCUACUUCUACCAUUGUUUCACUCCUAUCAUAGACUCCUAUCAUAGAAUCCCAAUCAAACUCCUAUCAUAGAAUCCCAAUCAAACCCUAAUCGAGCAAUAGAACCCUAGCCAUGUCGAUUAGAAAAUUACAGUGAGCUUGCAUGCGGUAGUAUGAACAGUGGAGCUCACGAAGCUGCACUUGAUUCGUGGAUAGUGCAAUCACCGGAAGAGGAAGCGAACACAUCGGCGUGACGAGGGUUCCAAACGGAGGAAUAUACACAGUAAGCGUUUUCUUUGAAAGUGCGAACGGAAAUGGGACGAUCGAGAGUUUAUAAUUUGACGGUGUCAUCCCAUGAACCGGAGAGGAAAGAGUCACGACAAACGGGGUUAAACGAUGGCGACGGCUAUGGGGUUUUCGUAGAAUGGACUAAACUUGACGGAGUAACCGUUGAAUGGGGUUUUGAAAACCGGCAUCAUUUUGAGAAUCGGAGUUUGGUCAGGUGAAACAGUGAGUAUUAGAUGUUUGAUGUUAUGCGCCUGAGGGAAGAUGCAUAAGGAAAGAUGGGGCAACUAAAGUCACUACAAAGUUUGAGCUGAAGCCACCGCCAUAUCUGCUAAGAUCUAAAAUCAAGUGCUGAAGCAGAUACUGCCUAAUGGAGUAGAAGUGCCUUCAUCUUUUGAAACAAUAGUCAAAUUUCCCACUUGAACCUACAUGAUGAAUUGCUUCUCUUCAAAGAUGUUUAUUGCGAAGGUUAUUUAUGAUGUAUGUAUGAUACUUUAAGUAUUUGAGCUUGAGUUUUAUCUCCUUAUUCCCAAUAAAGAGCCGCCUCUGUAUAUUUACUGCUACUUGGUGCACUAGUCUUGUUUAAUCACUAAUACUAGAUACAACGAUGCUUUGAUAGUCUUCACUGAA